UUAGCCGCAACUGAGUCUGAGACUUGUGCGCUUGAACCCACGAACCUCUCAUUGGAGGAAGGGAAUACAUAAUCUCAGUUUGUGCUUAUUGUAUGAUGAAGUCAGAUUAAAAAUAUUUUCUGUUUGUUCUUAAACAUAUGGAUUAGGCAGAGACUAAUGUUAAAUUUAUCAAUAUACAUUUAAAUAAGUAAAUAACGAAACAUAAAUGUUUUUGUUAGCGAAUAGAACCUAAUCUCAGCAAAACUGGAAUCACAAUGACCAACCGAUAUCUGAC
This 274-nucleotide long non-coding RNA is filed under the name Setaria viridis. RNAcentral describes it as "long non-coding RNA (SVIR_LNC004112)". The record is from RNAcentral. Lineage: Eukaryota; Viridiplantae; Streptophyta; Magnoliopsida; Poales; Poaceae.